Molecule: ribosomal RNA, 506 nt
Filed under: uncultured bacterium
Lineage: Bacteria
Description: partial 16S ribosomal RNA
Rfam family: Bacterial small subunit ribosomal RNA
Source: RNAcentral
GACGAACGCUGGCGGCGUGCCUAAUACAUGCAAGUCGAGCGGAUCAUCCCUUCGGGGGUGAUUAGCGGCGGACGGGUGAGUAACACGUAGGCAACCUGCCUGUAAGAUCGGGAUAACUACCGGAAACGGUAGCUAAGACCGAAUAGCUGGUUUCCCCGCAUGGGGAGAUCAAGAAACACGGCGCAAGCUGUGGCCUACGGAUGGGCCUGCGGCGCAUUCGCUGGUUGGUGGGGUAACGGCCUACCAAGGCGACGAUGCGUAGCCGACCUGGGAGGGUGAACGGCCACACUGGGACUGAGACACGGCCCAGACUCCUACGGGAGGCAGCAGUAGGGAAUCUUCCGCAAUGGACGCAAGUCUGACGGAGCAACGCCGCGUGAGUGAGGAAGGCCUUCGGGUCGUAAAGCUCUGUUGCCCUAGACGAACGCCUGGUGGAGUAACUGCCAUCAGGGUGACGGUAUAGGAGAAGAAAGCCCCGGCUAACUACGUGCCAGCCGCCGCGGUAA